GCUGGGCAUGGUGGCGCAUGCCUGUAAUCCCAGUAGCUUGGGAGGCUGAGGCAGGAAGAUCUUGAGUUCAAAGCCAGCCUGAGCAAUUUAGUGAGGCCCUAAACAACUCCGUGAGACACUGUCUCUA
Molecule: small RNA, 127 nt
Filed under: Marmota monax (woodchuck)
Lineage: Eukaryota; Metazoa; Chordata; Mammalia; Rodentia; Sciuridae
Source: RNAcentral